CCAACUGCGCUGUCGAAGAGACAUGCUGAUGGUUCAUUGCCAAUUGAAGAUUUCAUCAUUUCAACAUAGUACUUGAAAAUCAGAGUGGGAAGAAGGUACAAAUGGGAUCGGAGACUGAUCAGUGGGCAAUCAUGAUGAGCCUGAUGUUACAUACCAAUGCAAAGCAACUGAUUAAAGCACAAAAUUACCAAGAUGCAAUGGAAGUGCUCAGCAUGGAGGAGGAGGCUUUCUCUCUGCGAUCCAUCGGUUAUUAAGCUGGUCGAUAAUCCUUCUAUACUGCAAAUCGAUAUGGUUUGGUGUUAUUUCAUGCUUAGAGACAUAAACUGGCUCUCAGUGGCAGGAAUUCGCCUUGAGAAAGCCAGAGAGGGUCUUGAACGAGCUCAUGGAAAGGAUUCU
Molecule: long non-coding RNA, 396 nt
Organism: Rosa chinensis
Lineage: Eukaryota; Viridiplantae; Streptophyta; Magnoliopsida; Rosales; Rosaceae
Exons: 4
Source: RefSeq, a predicted model, not a curated record